RNAcentral lists this ribosomal RNA (751 nucleotides) under Polyplastron multivesiculatum. RNAcentral describes it as "SSU rRNA". It matches the Rfam family "Eukaryotic small subunit ribosomal RNA", at positions 109 to 986 of the family's 1831-position model. The record is from RNAcentral. Lineage: Eukaryota; Ciliophora; Litostomatea; Entodiniomorphida; Ophryoscolecidae.
GUUAUUGUUUAUUUGAUACAACAAAUGGAUAACUGUAGAAAAACUAGAGCUAAUACAUGCUUUAAUCGUAAGAUUGUAUUUAUUAGAUAUUCUGAAUUGGUGAAUCAUAAUAACUUCGCAAAUCUCGUUUAUGACGAGAUAAAUCAUCCAAGUUUCUGCCCUAUCAUGCUUUCGAUGGUAGUGUAUUGGACUACCAUGGCUCUCACGGGUAACAGGGAAUUAGGGUUCGAUUCUGGAGAAGGAGCCUGAGAAACGGCUACUACAUCUACGGAAGGCAGCAGGCGCGUAAAUUACCCAAUCCUGACUCAGGGAGGUGGUGACAAGAUAUAACGACGCGGUUAUUAUCGCGAUUGUAGUGAGGGUAUUCUAAACAGAACCUAUAGUACGAUUAGAGGGCAAGUCUGGUGCCAGCAGCCGCGGUAAUUCCAGCUCUAAUAGCGUAUAUUAAAGUUGCUGCAGUUAAAAAGCUCGUAGUUGGAUUUCAAGGAUUGUAGAACCUCCACGGGGAUACAUCCUACUAGUCUUCGGACUGUUACUGUGAGAAAAUUAGAGUGUUUCAAGCAGGCUUUCGCAAGAAUACAUUAGCAUGGAAUAACGAAUGUAUUUAGAAUCUUGGUUAAUUCUAAAUUACGAUUAAUAGAGACAGUUGGGGGCAUUAGUAUUUAAUUGUCAGAGGUGAAAUUCUUGGAUUUGUUAAAGACUAACGUAUGCGAAAGCAUUUGCCAAGGAUGUUUUCAUUAAUCAAGGACGA